This is an unclassified non-coding RNA of Vespa mandarinia (Asian giant hornet), 6094 nucleotides long. The record is from RefSeq and is a predicted model, not a curated record. NCBI's taxonomy places the organism in Eukaryota, Metazoa, Arthropoda, Insecta, Hymenoptera, Vespidae.
CUUAGUUUCCAAUAAAGAUGAUGGUCUAAAUACAGAACGUUUUUAGUAUAUUUCUUUAUUAUUGAAGUAAAACAUAAAAAUAUUAAAUACUCAAUAUUUAUCAUUGAUUCAAAAAUACGAAAAAUGUGUGUGCAGACAAUUUUUUCUAUGUAAAUACUGUGAUUCUGAUUGUAUAUGCAUCGCAAUGAUUAGUAUUUAUCGAAACAAUAGGAAUUCAGUAACUAUGACAAAUCAAACAAUGAAUAAUAAGAUUACGUUUAAUACUUUAAUAUCUUAUAUUAGUUUCUUCGUAUAAAAACGAAGUUAAAUAUUUUGUCGACGUUCAUUUCAAUUUUACAGUCAUAAUAACUGUAUUACUUUAAUAUUUUUAUAAGUAUCAAUACGAAAGAAGGAAACGUGAAAAAACUGAAGAAUAUGGAGGUAGAUGAUUGUUCAGCUGGUGGAGAUACUGGAGGAGAAGAAGAUGAAGAUGAAGCUUCUACUCAUGGAUCAGUAAGUAAUAGUAGUAGUAGUGGGAUGAGCGGCAGUAGUACUUCAACUGAUAGUGGAGAAGACAGUGGAGAAGAACGGGAUUCUAGUGAUACAGAUAGUCAUAGUUCUCCAGAUGAAGAUGACGAUGAAAAUGAAAAUACUGAAUAUUCAGUAAAAGCAGAAAGUUCAGAUGCUCUAAGGUGGGAAACUUGUGUGGCUGCGAAUAUUCGACUGAAACUUCCACAAGAUCUUUGCGAAGAUUCUGCUAUCUUCAAAGAGUUAUUAGAUUACCCAUAUUUUUGGAAUGAAUGCCUUAGUGAAAAUCAAAGAGAAUCUUUAUAUAGCUUCUUACCAAUUUUUCCAAAAGAUUGUGAUAUCGAAGCUGAAAUGGAAAGAACAUUGCAAAUGUUAUUUGAUAGAGAGGAUCAUAGAUUUGGAGUUGCAACACUGGAUGCAUUUCAUAAACACCUUUUAGCUGGUUAUUAUAGACCAGAUAUCAAACGAAUGCGCAGUUUGCUACAUAAAGCACAACAAAAAAGACUGUUGUUUGAAGAACGCAAAAGAUCAUACGAGCUUGCCAAUCAGUUACUUAAAUCACGAGAGAGUUUAUUAUCUAAUGCAUAUAAACAGGGUUUUAGCCAGCCUGUACAUCGAACAAUGUCUAAAUUUCAUUGGAAGAAACCAAAGCCAGCAAUGGUUGAAGAGAAAACCCAGCUACGCUAUUUGGAGGAACUGAGUAUCCUGAGGACUGAACUGGGAGCUAGUGCAAGGUUAGCACCUGACACAACAUCUGAAAAUGAAGAAAAUUAUUUAUAUUAUCAACUAUCUGGAACUAAACAAAAGAAGAAAAAGCGCUCCACCAUGAGUCUUCAAGGAUUAUCAAUUAGAGGGUUGCAGAUCAAUCAAGAAGAUGAAACAAUUCGGCCUGUAUUUUCGACGUUCCAACGAACAGAUUACGCAUCGAAUAGAUCGUUAUUUGUUCGUGAACAAACAGAAGAAGCAUAUCGUGCAAUGUUAAUAGCUCAUAAAAAGAGAAGAGCACAUCAUGAUAUUCAUCCUGAAUUAAAUACUCAGGGCAUUGCUCUUGCCGACUUAACUCAAAGAGCACAGACUGGCCAAAAGCACAAGCUUUCAAUUAAUACUUCUAUAAGAAUAACUCCUGCUAAGAAACGCAUUAAACUAGAACAGUCUACACUUUGUCCACCUGCACCAAAAUUAAUAAAUUCAAAUUCUACAAAACAUGAAAGUGAUAACAGUGACUAUUCUCAUACAACAGAUGAUAAUAGACAUUCUAAUGCAGUGGAUAUAGAUCACAAGCUGACGCCCAUAAAGUCUGAACCUAUAGAUGUAUAUGACAUACAUCAAGUAUCAAAGAAAAAAAUGAGCCCUGUUACUCCUAGGAGUAAUAAAUCUAUUCCAAGCACAUUAGAAAUUAAGAAAGAAGUAGAAGAAAUGGACUUUGAUGAUAUAAAAACGGAGAUUAAUACAGGCACAAAUGAUGAUGUUAUGCCAGAAACAGAGGAAGAUGAGGAAAAUGACAAAAAAGAACUUGAUUUAGGCAGUAUCGAUAUGAUGCAAAUACCAAUUCAACUUGAUGAUGGUAUUGAUAUUCUUGAUGAUGUGAAAUGUGAGAAUGAAAAUGUUAUGGCUAUGAGAGAUAAAGAAAUUUCUGUACCUAGUGCAGAAGAUACUAUUGAUGUUAAUAGUGGAGCAGAACUUAUGCAAGAAACUCAUGCAUCAUUUUUUUCUUUGCUGAGAGAUGCUUUCACUUCUAAAGGAGAAUUUAGAAUGAGUACUGGAGAAAUAAAGGACGCUAUUACACAAUGGCAAGGCAAUCCAAUUUCACCACUAAAUGACUGGUAUUCGUUAGCAUCUUCAUGGCCAUCGUUAGUUCCAUUAGCUUUGGGAUUUCUUGCUGGUGAAUUAACAUAUUCUCAGGAAUUGGAACAAUCACAGGAACGGGAACAAGAACUUGUUCCCUACUUAGAAAAUAAAGGCAGUGGUGUAUAUGCUUGGAUUGGUGCAGGCAGGGAUUCGGAUUCUCGUUUAUUAGAUUUGUGUACAAGAUUUUUAAUGCAUAGGGAUUCACUGGGGCCAUCUUAUAUUUCAUCUGGUGUAGUUUCUGUAAAACAAAUAUCACAAUUAUCGACGUCAAGUAAUAAUAAUAAUAACAAUGGAAACAGUACAACCAAUGGAAAUACUAGAAGUGGAAGCCCUGCAGUAGAAUCAAUUAAUAUCGAUACGAGUUCUCUUGGAUCUAUUACAGAAUGGGAACCACCACGAGCAUUAUGGCCUACAGAAUGGAAAGUCCGACCAUCUACAAUCGAAGAACGUGAAGAAUUUAGAAGACAAGAACGAAUGCGCUAUGCAGCACCUCAUAAAGCAUUUACUUAUCGCAUGCAUGGAUAUGCAUCUGUAGUAGGACCUGUCAAAGGCAUUUAUCAACAUAAUGUUGGAUCUGGAUUAACUAAACCACGAGGGCAUUCUUUAUUAGUAGCCGACCGACCAAAUUUUGUAACAAUCUUAGCGUUGGUCAGAGAUGCUACAGCUCGAUUACCAAAUGGUGAAGGAACUCGUGCUGACAUAUGUCAAUUAUUAAAAGAUUCUCAAUACAUAAGAGAACAAGGCGAGAGCGAUGAUAAAGAAGGGUAUUUACAUUCAGUUGUGUCAGGUGCUUUGGACAGAUUGCAUUAUGAAACAGAUCCAUGCGUUAGAUAUUACCCUCGGCGAAAAGAGUGGCUAUAUCUUCAUAGAGCUCGUUCAGAAUCAGAAUUUGAAAUGUAUCAUCAACAGCUACAAGGUGUAGCAAAAAAUAAAAAAAACGUAGGAAGUACGUCACGAAAUAAAUUAUUACAACCAUCUAUUAAACCUAUUGUACAUAAGGAACAAUCUCCUAAUAGCAGCAAAGAAACUACACCCAAAAAAGAAAGGCGCGCUGUUACUGUGGUACAACCAGUUAUAACUCGAAAAGAGCAACGUAAAACUGACGAAAAAAUUACUGUUGACCAUCCAACUUCUUCCGAACAAUCGGUUGUUAAUACAACGACAGUAACAACAAUUAAUGCACCAACAUCAGCCAUUUCUACCGCUACUGGUACUACCAUUUCUGUAACUACACUUCCAAGCUCUUCUACAUUAACUACGACAGCUAACAUAGAAAGAAAUAAUAUCGUUUCUGAAGUUAAAACUUUAACAACGUCAAAUGCAAUUAAAAAAGUAACUAAUAUAGGAGGGAAACCAGUGGCUGUAGUAAAAACUAACGCAGCACAAAGUUUAUUGCAGUCAAGUCAACAGCAUUUUCCUCAUCAUCAAAUACAAGUGUCCACAUCUGCGGGACUGCAAACUAUAAGAUUGUCAGGGCAUUCUGUACUUCAUUCUGCUCAACCUACUUCAACAAGUACUAGUUCUUGUAUAGGAAGCACUACCACAAACUUAGCAACAAUAUUUCCUAAUGCUAAAGUUCAAAGUCAACAACAGCAACAAACUGUAGUAACGAGUCAAACUGGGAAAAGUAUUUUGCAAACUUCUAAUAUAAAACAACAAUCUCAACAACCACACGUAUUGCCUGGUAAAACAUUACUGGCAUCUCAAAUAAAAUUAGUCAGUUCAGGACAAAUAAAAUCAUUACUCACAGGACAUGGCCUUCAAGGUCAAACGAUAUUCAUUAAACAAUCAUCUCCAUCCAAUAAUCAGUCUCAACAAUUACAACAACAACAACAAUUAAAGCAGCAGCAGCAGCAGCAGCAGCAGCAGCAACAGCAACAGCAACAACAGCAACAACAACAACAGCAACAACAACAACAGCAACAGCAGCAGCAACAACAGCAGCAACAGCAACAACUACAAAGAGUCGUAACUAACCAACAACAGAUACAGACAUCAGGAAUGCAACGUAUAAUUGCACAAAUCAGCGGUAAACCGAUUGCUGUGCAAAUACAACAAUCUCCGCAUCAAUCACAACAGCAACAGCAACAACAAAAAAUAUUGGCGAAGGUUUUAACUAGUACAGGUGGAGGACAACUUAUCUCAGUAGAAAGUUUACUUGCACAAAAGGGAUUAAAACUAGCAACCAAUGCUACUCAUACUAACCAAGUAAAUAGACAAGGCAAACAAGUCAUACAAACUCAGUACCAGGUGGUGUCACAGAAUCAAACAUCUUCGGCACAAUCGAAAAUUAUUGCUAGUACACAUCAACAAUCUCAAUCGCCUCAAACUCAGACAGUCAGAAUGGUCACAGCACAAAUUGCUGGAAAACCUAUUGUCCUGGCAAGUGGAAAUAAGAGUGUUGGCGUUGGAGUAAGUGGGAGUGGAAAUGUAGUUCUUGGAAAACAGCAGAACCCACAACAACAACAAAGUCAACAGCAACCAAUAAUUCUACCAAGUCAGUUGCUAAAUAUUAAAACGUUACAUGGUCUCAAGGUGAUACCAACGCCUACAGGACUGAAGACAACAGGCGCUGCAGUUUAUGCUAGGGUUAUCGCGCCGACAACGAUCUCUUCGACUCAGUCGACAGUAAAUCAACAGCAACAGCAGCAACAACAACAACAACAACAACAACAACAACAACAACAACAACAACAGCAACAACAACAACAACAACAACCUGCUCAAACACAACCAUCAAAGAACAAUUCACAUAGCACACCUUGACAAAAUUAAUAUGAUAAAUGUUGUGGUAGAGGCAAUGUUUUUGCGAAGUCAAUCAUCCAUAUACCGGCACUUGUAACGUCAUGUACAAACAAUAAGCUCGAACCAACAACUUCAUGUGAAGCAAAAAAUGGGGAUGCCUUUAGCGUCGUUCGUAUAGCUUUAAGGCGUUGUAAAUAUUUUGGAACUACGUGUACAUAACCUUCAACAAAACGCUUAAGAGCUUCUGUAACCUAAGGAUAUUUGUAUUAUAUUAAUAUAAUACUUACCCAUGGAUAUCGUUGUUUUUUAUAUAUUUGAAAGAAUGGAGCCCAGUGUACAACAUUUCUCAGUUUUUUCCAACCAGAUGUCUAUAACAAAUACAUAAUUAUAUUAAAAUGGAUAUAACUAAUAUGAAAAAAUGCGAUCAGAGUAUACAUCUUCAACUAUAUUUAUAGUUAAUUAUACUUACUCGUAAAGACUUAACUGGUUGAAGUUCUUCAGAGAUAUCACAGUCAUCUCCACUUAAACUGGAGGUAGUUGAACAGUCUGAUACUUUACGUACAAAUGGAACAUCUAAUAAUUCAACUUUUGAUUGGUCUUUUAGUUCAGAAGAAUUAUCAUCUGUAUAUUCAAGAACUGGAGAAUCAAAUUUACUGUAAUAUGGACCAGUAGUCUCCACACAUGAAUUUCUUCUGUUCCCAGCUUCAUGUAAAUUCCUGAAACAAGCACAAACAACAGGAAUCAGAAUGUCGACGAAGACGGCAAACUUGAAGGAACUUUAAAUUUAAAGACUCUUGUAUCUCAUCACAAUCCAGACAAGAACAACUACUGGCUUGACUUGGACUGCCACUCGUUCCAUCAUAUUUUUCGACAUCAAGAUUGGUUCUCUCAAAAUUUUCAUCUAAGUAAGAAUAAUCCGAAUAAUCGCUAACAACCACACUUGGUGUUCUCCAAUAUCUUGGUCGUCCUUCAGUAGAUUCACAUUCGCUACUUU